GGGGUAAAAUUCUGUGGAUUACAAACAACUGCACUUUUGUUCCAGCCCUGCAUAAUCUCACAGGCAGUUCUGGAACAUGUUGUUUCCUAUGUACAGCCUCCCAGGGACUUCUGGAACAUGCUGUUUCCUAUAGCAUGAGGAUCUGAUUAUACAAUGCUUUGGGUUAUGAUGAAUUUGCAUGUUAUUUUGCAAGCAGAGUUGAGCUUUUUCUGACCUGACAACCAUGUGAUCCAACUCCAGCACUGGAAUAAUGAGUCCUGCUGACAGUCAGAAUUAUGUAGCCCAGGUUCAUCCACUUCAAAACCGUGUUCACUGUGGCUGCAUCUCUACUAGAACUGCAACGUUGCCAGGGCAAGCCCAGAGCAGAGGAGGGGAUGUGUACUGCAUGUUCUGAAAGACAAGUAGCACAGUAGUGCACAGUAGCACAGUCUUGGACCAUGACAAUUCAUCUCCCAGACAAUUGCCUUGCAUGAUCCAAAGGUAAGCCUGGGCCUGGAACCACUCUUUGGAAGCAGCUUCAGCACAUCAUCCUUCCUCUUUGGUGUAAGAUGUUCUUUGUGAAGGAACACAGGACUGGAGUCAAGGCUGAAGAGUGAUCACUGAUGGAGGUUAAUACGACUGGAAUCUGUUGAGAAGGAAGCUACAUGCACGUCCAAAGUGCUGUGUCACCGUGCUGUUGGAACGCCUCAGGCUGUCCCACAGAUGAACACACCUGCGUGAUUCAGGCAUCUUAGAUCUCCAAGGAAAUGUGUCCAGGCCAGUGGAGCUUGUUUCAAAUAAGUACCUGUGUUAUAUGGGAUUAUUGUGCUAUGUUGAUAUGAUGCCCCUGACCCUGUCCUUGGCUGGCACUUAUCUUGGGUGCAGUGAAUUGUGUUCCCUGCUGCCAUGUAUGAUGUCCUUGGUCCUGCAAUAGGUCUUAGAAACCACAGGAGUGGAAACCUGAAUGAGCUAAAUAAUUCUAUUUUCCUCCAAGAAAUUCAAGCAGAAACUUUCUGUCAGGCUUGGUUGCACAAAACAGGCUACAUCUCCAGAAGCCAGAGACUGCAGAUUCAUACCUGCUGAGGCUGCCAGCUGAAUGUUUGUUCCACCCAACAACAUGAGCUGUUCAACUUGAAGGUCUGUAUGAUGAUUUAUAAAACCUUUUUCACAUCAUUAUUUCAGAUAGAGAUAGGAUCUCAUUAAUGCUGUAGCAGGAUGGGAAUAAGCAUUUGGAAUAUGCCAGUGUAGGGCAAUUCAGCCGUUUUUGUGACAAGCAUAUUACUGUGGUAUCAUUAAUAAUGUUUGUCACAAUGACAAUUUAUUUAUGUGUAUUUAUUUAGUAUUUAUUAUUAUGUAUUUAUUUAUCUGAAAGCAUCUGUUGUGUGCCAGAGCAGCUACAGAAGACAACAACCCCAGCCAGAAAAUGUCCUGACAACGCUGCUCCUUGGGGAUUAAUGUGUUUGGGAAGGGCUACAUUCUUACAUUUACUGUCAGAUUUUCACCAUCACUCCAAUGGUUCUGAAGUCGUUUUCCAAAUUGUCAUAAUGGUCUGAUGACAACGUAUUUGAAAUGGAUUUUUUUGUCCUGCUAUGACACAUUUUUCUCCAGCUGUUGGUAACAAUAUAAGGUUGAAGACACAAACCUGGUGUGUCUUUCAUGAAACACAUUUCAGUGUUUAACACGGCAUGAAAUGCUCUCUGGUGGAAUCAGGUGCAGAAGAUGUUUCUUCCUAUUUAUAUGAACCUCACUAAAAAUGUCUGUCUCAUUCUUCCAGAGCUUAGUUUUCUUUGGAACAUUCUGGCUUUCUCAUAGCAGAAAUUUGUGGAACUGAACUUAUUAUCAGACAUGGAUCACUGUGGUGAUAAUCUCAGGAGAGAGAUAGAUACCACUCCCAAAUACAAAUAUUGAAUGACAAUCUCCAGAAAGAACAUUUAGAAUAUUACAUACACGUGAAAGACAUAGUUCUGACUUCAUUGAUUGAAAUAUCCUUUAUUACAUCACAUUCAGGACAGAUUUCAUAUUACUAGGUAUUUUUUCAAUAUUUCAUUUGUAUAGAUAUUUUAAAUCCCCCUCAAAUUCUAAAAAAAAAUAUAAAUUAACACCAGUGACAAAGAUACUGGUUAGUAAUUUCUUGAAAGUCGUGAAAGAACCUAAGUUGCCAAAGUGUAUUAGGGAAUAUUUUAUGACUCAGAUGUGUCUAGGGUAGACUAUGCCACAAGAACUGGCAUAGGACAGACUCUUAGUUCCUUUGUAAUGGAAUCUCAUUUGCUGCCCUUCUGUGGUUUUUAUUAUUUCAAUCAAUGUGAUUUCUCAUAAGACGAUACAAUGCAACUAUUGUACAGAAUUAGAAUAUUUCCUAGAUAAGACACAAAGCCUUAAAUUCAAUGGCAAUUUAAUGCCUGUGCUAUUGUUCUCUUUUCAUCUUUGAUUUUUUGAGGCAGACCUCUCCCAGAAAUGUCAAUGCAUAUAAAGGAAGUACACAAAUAAAGAUUUUGCAAAGCCAAGUGUGACA
Molecule: long non-coding RNA, 2491 nt
Filed under: Cyanistes caeruleus (blue tit)
Lineage: Eukaryota; Metazoa; Chordata; Aves; Passeriformes; Paridae
Description: lncRNA (ENSCCEG00000023856.1)
Source: RNAcentral